GUCAACUUUUUCUCUGUAUUGAUCAUUAUAUAAUACAAACUUUACCAAUUACAAGGGUUUUUUAGGUAGAUUGAGUAUCUGGGUAUAACUGGAAAUUUGAAAUUGUUGGAAGGUUUUUGAGAAAAUGGAACCGUCUUCGUCUUCGCCGGAGUUUGAUUACUUGUUUAAGCUGUUGUUGAUUGGAGAUUCAGGAGUAGGGAAGAGUAGUUUGUUGCUCAGUUUCACUUCUGAUGCCUUUGAGGAUCUUUCUCCAACUAUUGGUGUGGACUUCAAGGUAAAACAUGUCACCCUCGGGGGGAAGAAGUUGAAGCUUGC
Molecule: unclassified non-coding RNA, 315 nt
Filed under: Hevea brasiliensis (rubber tree)
Lineage: Eukaryota; Viridiplantae; Streptophyta; Magnoliopsida; Malpighiales; Euphorbiaceae
Source: RNAcentral